RNAcentral lists this ribosomal RNA (522 nucleotides) under uncultured bacterium. Its description in RNAcentral is "bacterial SSU rRNA". It matches the Rfam family "Bacterial small subunit ribosomal RNA", at positions 988 to 1509 of the family's 1533-position model. The record is from RNAcentral.
CCAGAGAACUUAGCAGAGAUGCUUUGGUGCCUUCGGGAACUCUGAGACAGGUGCUGCAUGGCUGUCGUCAGCUCGUGUUGUGAAAUGUUGGGUUAAGUCCCGCAACGAGCGCAACCCUUAUCCUUUGUUGCCAGCGGCUCGGCCGGGAACUCAAAGGAGACUGCCGGUGAUAAACCGGAGGAAGGUGGGGAUGACGUCAAGUCAUCAUGGCCCUUACGGCCAGGGCUACACACGUGCUACAAUGGCGCAUACAAAGAGAAGCGACCUCGCGAGAGCAAGCGGACCUCACAAAGUGCGUCGUAGUCCGGAUUGGAGUCUGCAACUCGACUCCAUGAAGUCGGAAUCGCUAGUAAUCGUAGAUCAGAAUGCUACGGUCGAAUACGUUCCCGGGCCUUGUACACACCGCCCGUCACACCAUGGGAGUGGGUUGCAAAAGAAGUAGGUAGCUUAACCUUCGGGAGGGCGCUUACCACUUUGUGAUUCAUGACUGGGGUGAAGUCGUAACAAGGUAAGCGUAGCGAG